AUUUGAAAUACACGUUCUUUAUUUCUCUCUUAACAUAAUACUGAAGACAACGCGGACGAGGUUACGGACAAAAACUGGUAACGCAUAGUUUAUAGGUUGCAAUUUUGGUCAAAGUCCCUUCUACGUUAAGAAGUUUAAAAGGAGAUGUAGUUGAGACAUGAUUGUAUGGACUACAUUUUAAUUGCUUCUGCUGUCGCACUUG
Long non-coding RNA from Danaus plexippus (monarch butterfly), 202 nucleotides. RefSeq lists it as uncharacterized. The transcript is spliced from 3 exons. NCBI's taxonomy places the organism in Eukaryota, Metazoa, Arthropoda, Insecta, Lepidoptera, Nymphalidae. The record is from RefSeq and is a predicted model, not a curated record.